UACGUAGGGUGCGAGCGUUGUCCGGAAUUAUUGGGCGUAAAGAGCUUGUAGGCGGUUUGUCGCGUCUGCUGUGAAAAUCCGGGACUCAACCCCGGACCUGCAGUGGGUACGGGCAGACUAGAGUGUGGUAGGGGAGACUGGAAUUCCUGGUGUAGCGGUGAAAUGCGCAGAUAUCAGGAGGAACACCAAUGGCGAAGGCAGAUCUCUGGGCCGUAACUGACGCUGAGGAGCGAAAGCAAGGGGAGCGAACGGG
RNAcentral lists this ribosomal RNA (253 nucleotides) under uncultured bacterium. RNAcentral's name for it is "partial 16S ribosomal RNA". It matches the Rfam family "Bacterial small subunit ribosomal RNA", at positions 524 to 776 of the family's 1533-position model. The record is from RNAcentral.